Long non-coding RNA from Fundulus heteroclitus (mummichog), 2080 nucleotides. RefSeq lists it as uncharacterized. NCBI's taxonomy places the organism in Eukaryota, Metazoa, Chordata, Actinopteri, Cyprinodontiformes, Fundulidae. The record is from RefSeq and is a predicted model, not a curated record. The transcript is spliced from 2 exons.
AGAGCCACAAUGUUCUAAACAUGGAUCAUUUAACAGUUUCAGCUCAUAUUGUUCUGGAUUCAUCUUCAAGCUAAAUCAGCAGCCUGCAUGGAGGCUUUUCUCUAAGGAAACAUGGCGUUUGGUUAAAGUUCUGCUCCUUCAGUCCCUGAUCACUGAACAUUGGUCCCAUGUUCUGCUGCUGGCCUCACAUGUUCUCCAUCAUCCUGGCUCAGUUGUUCUCAGUGGGUCUCUGUGUGUCUGGUGGCUCAUUGUGAGAACUAAAACCUACCAUGAGGAGACUUUCUCCACCUGCGGCCCUCAGCUGUGGAUCAGCCUUCCUGAAGACCUGAGGGCAGCUCAGAGCUUUGGACUAAAUAAGAAUCAUCUGCAUUUUUCAGCACAUCUUUGGAAACCAAUGAAAUGUGUCCUCUGCAUUUAACCCGUCCCUCAGGGAGCAGUGGGCUGCCACUGGGUGGUGCCCCGGAGCAUUCUGGCUCUAAGGGUCUUGCUCAGGGACCCAGGGCAGGAGCCUGUGGGAUUUGAACCAGCAAACUUGCAGUGCAAACGUGGACUACAGAUCUAUGCAUGGUAUUAGGUUUUAGGACUAAACACUGAACACUGGAAUAAUGAGGCACAGACUAAAUCAUCACCAUUUGACACAAGUUAUAAAGUGUUAACACCCCCCUCCCCCCUUUAUUUAGGAAAAUGAUAAGGCGAAUAAAAUAAAUGUACUUUAGGACCUUUAAAUAAAGACAAGUAACAAGCACUGCUCUGCAUACAACAGCAAAAUAAAGACCCUCAGGGUGUCAAUCUGAGAUCCCAGUUUAAUAGUAUUUGCUUAAAUGCUUAUUAAUUAAAGCUAAAGCCGGUAAAACCCAAGCUAACCCUACGUUGCAGGCCUGUUUCUAUGCUGUGAACAUGGAGACCAAACUCAGUGGUGGCUUCACUCAAAGAGCAAAUAAUAAACUAAAAAUGAACCUUGGUCCAGAUGAAUAAAAACGCUAACAGAAACGCUCUGCUCUGUGACUACUGUGAGGGACAGAGCCAACCAGACCCCAUGGACUCCUUUCCUGGCCUGAUCCUGGAUCCUGGUUUCCUGGAACAAAGUGGACCUCUGCUCUCCAGCCUGGACCCACAGAAGAUGGUUUUAUCCACUAUGGACCAGAAAACUGUUUAUGGAGUCUGUUCUAAAGUAAUGACUCAAAGACACCUCACCCACAGAGCCCCAUCAUCUGUAAAUAAAGAUUUCCCUUUACUACCAUCUAUCUCAUCAGAAAUGUCAUUUAUCAUUAUAUUAAAAAGAACUGGGCUACACACACUGCCUUGUGGGCUACUAUUCUCAACAAUAUAUCUAGUAGAGAAAGCAGCCCCAACUCUAACUUCUAUUUCUCUACCUGUCAGGACUCAGCCAGCAGGGCCGUGCAGCUUGCUGCCGGCUCUGCUGCCUCAGACUCUUUCCACAGGUGUUCUGGGUUGACUGGUGGGCGGAGCCCACACACCUGCGGGCGGUUGAGCGGCAUCGGGAGGCACUACUUAAACACCACGCAGACAGCGAGAGGAUGCCAGAGUGUUACCGUUGUGGUACCUCCUCGUGUCAGCUCUCUUCCUCUCGUGACCCUGUGAAGUCUCUCGUGGCAGGAGCUCCAAGCAUCGUCAUCUUCCGUCUGGUGUUGGUCUCUCCUGCAAGCCACCGGGUUCCUCCUGAGUCGGUUCCCCUCCCCUGGAACCCAGCCAUCUCCGGAAAGUCACCUGGUUCCUCUCGCUGUCCUGGACAUCUGGAUUUCCCGGUGCUGCUCGGACCCAACCCCACCUUCAACCCACUGGUCUCCCGGACACCUGUGGCCACCAUCGUACGGCUAGCGCUGAGUCCCCACCGCUUCCUCCCCGGUCGGCCUUCCGUCCAUUAAGUGGUAAGCUUGCGUCUUACAGCAGAUCCAGCUCAGUCAGACCAGUUCCUCUCCACGUUUCCCCAGUUAACCUCUGUCUCGUUCUUCCCCAGUGAUCGACCCGGUUUCCUGCUCCCUGACCGUUACCUGACGCUGCCUCCGCUGAGGCAGAAUCCUCCCGUUACCUGGUUCUUAAAUAAAACCUUUAAACUUCA